GGGCCUGUAGCUCAGCUAGGUACGAGCGCUCGACUGAUAAUCGAGAGGUCGUGGGUUCAAAUCCCACCAGGCCCA
RNAcentral lists this transfer RNA (75 nucleotides) under Microcaldota archaeon. RNAcentral's name for it is "Candidatus Micrarchaeota archaeon (hot springs metagenome) tRNA-Ile". It matches the Rfam family "tRNA". From Rfam's summary of the family: Transfer RNA (tRNA) molecules are approximately 80 nucleotides in length. Their secondary structure includes four short double-helical elements and three loops (D, anti-codon, and T loops). RNAcentral also lists the same sequence under 1 other name. Lineage: Archaea; Nanobdellati; Microcaldota. The record is from RNAcentral.